RNAcentral lists this ribosomal RNA (433 nucleotides) under uncultured bacterium. RNAcentral's name for it is "partial 16S ribosomal RNA". It matches the Rfam family "Bacterial small subunit ribosomal RNA", at positions 29 to 507 of the family's 1533-position model. The record is from RNAcentral.
AACGAACGCUGGCGGCAUGCCUAACACAUGCGAGUCGAACGAGACCUUCGGGUCUAGUGGCGCACGGGUGCGUAACGCGUGGGAACCUGCCCUUAGGUUCGGAAUAACUCCCCGAAAGGGGUGCUAAUACCGGAUAAUGUCUUCGGACCAAAGAUUUAUCGCCUUUGGAUGGGCCCGCGUUGGAUUAGCUAGUUGGUAGGGUAAAAGCCUACCAAGGCGACGAUCCAUAGCUGGUCUGAGAGGAUGAUCAGCCACACUGGGACUGAGACACGGCCCAGACUCCUACGGGAGGCAGCAGUGGGGAAUAUUGGACAAUGGGCGAAAGCCUGAUCCGGCAAUGCCGCGUGAGUGAUGAAGGCCUUAGGGUUGUAAAGCUCUUUUACCCGGGAUGAUAAUGACAGUACCGGGAGAAUAAGCUCCGGCUAACUCCGUG